CCUACGGGUGGCAGCAGUAGGGAAUAUUGCUCAAUGGGGGAAACCCUGAAGCAGCAACGCCGCGUGGAGGAUGAAGGUUUUCGGGUUGUAAACCCCUUUUGUUAGAGAAGAUAAUGACGUUAUCUAUAGAUAAAGCACCGGCUAACACCGUGCCAGCAGCCGCGGUAAUACGGAGGGUGCGCGCGUUACUCGGAAGCACUGGGCGUAAAGGGCGCGUAGGCGGGAUAGCAAGUCAGAUGUGAAAUCCUAUGGCUUAACCAUAGAACUGCAUUUGAAACUGUUAGUCUAGAGGAUGGGAGAGGUAGGUGGAAUUCUUGGUGUAGCGGUAAAAUGCGUAGAGAUCAAGAGGAAUACUCAUUGCGAAGGCGACCUGCUAGAACAUAACUGACGCUGAUGCGCGAAAGCGUGGGGAGCAAACAGGAUUAGAUACCCUAGUAGUC
This 440-nucleotide ribosomal RNA is filed under the name uncultured bacterium. Its description in RNAcentral is "partial 16S ribosomal RNA". It matches the Rfam family "Bacterial small subunit ribosomal RNA", at positions 338 to 795 of the family's 1533-position model. The record is from RNAcentral.